RNAcentral lists this non-coding RNA (23 nucleotides) under Cricetulus griseus (Chinese hamster). The record is from RNAcentral. Lineage: Eukaryota; Metazoa; Chordata; Mammalia; Rodentia; Cricetidae.
AUUAGGCUGAAAAACAAUGCAGA